GACGAACGCUGGCGGAUUGCUUAACACAUGCAAGUCGAACUAAGUGGCGAACGGGUGAGUAACGCGUAAUCAACCUGCCCGUCAGAGGGGGACAACUGUUGGAAACGGUGGCUAAUAACGCCAACUGUCGGAUGAACCUAUAUGGCAUUAGCUAGUAGGUAAGGUAAUGGCUAACCUAGGCGAGGAUCCCUAGCUGGUCUGGUAGGAUGAUCAGCCUCACUGGGACUGAGACACGGCCCAGACUCCUACGUGAGGCAGCAGUGGGGAAUCUUCCGCAAUGGACGAAAGUCUGACGGAGCAGCGCCGCGUGAGUGAUGACGACCUGCGGGUUGUAAAGCUCUGUUAAUCGGGACGCGAUACCGGAAUAGAAAGCCACGGCUAACUACGUGCCAGCAGCCGCGGUAAUAC
Molecule: ribosomal RNA, 408 nt
Filed under: uncultured bacterium
Lineage: Bacteria
Description: partial 16S ribosomal RNA
Rfam family: Bacterial small subunit ribosomal RNA
Source: RNAcentral